CCUACGGGUGGCAGCAGUGGGGAAUAUUGCACAAUGGGGGAAACCCUGAUGCAGCGACGCCGCGUGAGUGAAGAAGUAAUUCGUUAUGUAAAGCUCUAUCAGCAGGGAAGAAAAUGACGGUACCUGAGUAAGAAGCCCCGGCUAACUACGUGCCAGCAGCCGCGGUAAUACGUAGGGGGCAAGCGUUAUCCGGAUUUACUGGGUGUAAAGGGAGCGUAGACGGCAGUGCAAGUCUGGAGUGAAAGGUGGGGGCUCAACCCCCGGACUGCUCUGGAAACUGUACGGCUGGAGUGCAGGAGAGGUAAGUGGAAGUCCUAGUGUAGCGGUGAAAGGCGUAGAUAUUAGGAGGAACACCAGUGGCGAAGGCGGCUUACUGGACUGUAACUGACGUUGAGGCUCGAAAGCGUGGGGAGCAAACAGGAUUAGAUACCCGGGUAGUC
RNAcentral lists this ribosomal RNA (440 nucleotides) under uncultured bacterium. RNAcentral describes it as "partial 16S ribosomal RNA". It matches the Rfam family "Bacterial small subunit ribosomal RNA", at positions 338 to 795 of the family's 1533-position model. The record is from RNAcentral.